This 305-nucleotide ribosomal RNA is filed under the name uncultured bacterium. Its description in RNAcentral is "bacterial SSU rRNA". It matches the Rfam family "Bacterial small subunit ribosomal RNA", at positions 334 to 636 of the family's 1533-position model. The record is from RNAcentral.
GUGUCCUACGGGGGGCAGCAGUGAGGAAUAUUAGUCAAUGGGAGAGAUCCUGAACCAGCCAAGCCGCGUGAGGGAAGACGGCCCUAUGGGUUGUAAACCUCUUUUGUCGGAGAACAAAACCCGGGACGUGUCCCGGACUGCGUGUAUCCGAAGAAAAAGCAUCGGCUAACUCCGUGCCAGCAGCCGCGGUAAUACGGAGGAUGCGAGCGUUAUCCGGAUUUAUUGGGUUUAAAGGGGGCGCAGACGGCAAUGCAAGCCAGGAGUGAAAGCCCGGGGCCCAACCCCGGGACUGCUCUUGGGACUGC